Molecule: ribosomal RNA, 1233 nt
Filed under: Bacillus mycoides
Lineage: Bacteria; Bacillati; Bacillota; Bacilli; Caryophanales; Bacillaceae
Description: bacterial SSU rRNA
Rfam family: Bacterial small subunit ribosomal RNA
Source: RNAcentral
GCCAAAUGCGGGGGGGUCUAUAAUGCCAGUCGAGCGAAUGGGUUGAGAACUUGCUCUCAAGAAGUUAGCGGCGGAAGGGAGAGUAACACGUGGGUAACCUGCCCAUAAGACUGGGAUAACUCCGGGAAACCGGGGCUAAUACCGGAUAACAUUUUGAACUGCAUGGUUCGAAAUUGAAAGGCGGCUUCGGCUGUCACUCCUCGGAUGGACCCGCGUCGCAUUAGCUAGUUGGUGAGGUAACGGCUCACCAAGGCAACGAUGCGUAGCCCACCUGAGAGGGUGAUCGGCCACACUGGGACUGAGACACGGCCCAAACUCCUACGGGAGGCAGCAGUAGGGAAUCUUCCGCAAUGGACGAAAGUCUGACGGAGCAACGCCGCGUGAGUGAUGAAGGCUUUCGGGUCGUAAAACUCUGUUGUUAGGGAAGAACAAGUGCUAGUUGAAUAAGCUGGCACCUUGACGGUACCUAACCAGAAAGCCACGGCUAACUACGUGCCAGCAGCCGCGGUAAUACGUAGGUGGCAAGCGUUAUCCGGAAUUAUUGGGCGUAAAGCGCGCGCAGGUGGUUUCUUAAGUCUGAUGUGAAAGCCCACGGCUCAACCGUGGAGGGUCAUUGGAAACUGGGAGACUUGAGUGCAGAAGAGGAAAGUGGAAUUCCAUGUGUAGCGGUGAAAUGCGUAGAGAUAUGGAGGAACACCAGUGGCGAAGGCGACUUUUCUGGUCUGUAACUGACACUGAGGCGCGAAAGCGUGGGGAGCAAACAGGAUUAGAUACCCUGGUAGUCCACGCCGUAAACGAUGAGUGCUAAGUGUUAGAGGGUUUCCGCCCUUUUAGUGCUGAAGUUAACGCAUUAAGCACUCCGCCUGGGGAGUACGGCCGCAAGGCUGAAACUCAAAGGAAUUGACGGGGCCCGCACAGCGGUGGAGCAUGUGGUUUAUUCGAAGCACGCGAGAACCUUACCAGUCUGACAUCCUCUGAAACCCUAAAGAUAGGCUUCUCUCGGAGCAAGUGACAGUGUGCAUGUGUCGUCAGCUCUGUCUGAGAAUGUGGGUAGUCCGCACGAGCGCACCCUGAUCUAGUGCAUCAUAGUGGGCACUCUAGGUACUGCGUGACAACGAGGAGGUGGGAUGAAGCUCAUCUCUUUGCCUUUAGACUGGGCUACCGUGUCUCAAUGUGGCGGUCAAAGGGUCAAACCAGUGACCAUAUCCUUGACACCGUCUACUUUCGAAUGAA